UUUUGGACUGAAGGGAGCUCC
Molecule: microRNA, 21 nt
Filed under: Glycine max (soybean)
Lineage: Eukaryota; Viridiplantae; Streptophyta; Magnoliopsida; Fabales; Fabaceae
Description: gma-miR319p
Gene: gma-miR319p
Source: miRBase by way of RNAcentral